CAAGGCUGACCCAGACAGACUUUGACCUUGGUUUGAUCUCCCGCCAUUCAAGAAAAGCUUCCUUCAGCUUCAAAUGGCCUUACUUGGAGCUCAGCUGUACAGAAAGGGUAAAACCUCAUUAACGUAACUGCAACAAUGAAGACAUUACCUAGACGUGCUGGCUUCCUCUUUGCCUUCCUCCAUGAUGUAAGUUUCCUGAGGACUCCCCAGCCAUACUUCCUGUACAGCCUGUGGAACU
This is a long non-coding RNA of Pan troglodytes (chimpanzee), 238 nucleotides long. RefSeq lists it as uncharacterized. The transcript has 3 exons. The record is from RefSeq and is a predicted model, not a curated record. NCBI's taxonomy places the organism in Eukaryota, Metazoa, Chordata, Mammalia, Primates, Hominidae.